GACGAACGCUGGCGGCGUGCUUAACACAUGCAAGUCGAACGGAAAGGCCCUGCUUUUGUGGGGUGCUCGAGUGGCGAACGGGUGCGUAACACGUGAGUAACCUGCCCUUGACUUUGGGAUAACUUCAGGAAACUGGGGCUAAUACCGGAUAGGAGCUCCUGCUGCAUGGUGGGGGUUGGAAAGUUUCGGCGGUUGGGGAUGGACGCGCGGCUUAUCAGCUUGUUGGUGGGGUAGUGGCUUACCAAGGCUUUGACGGGUAGCCGGCCUGAGAGGGUGAACGGCCACAUUGGGACUGAGAUACGGCCCAGACUCCUACGGGAGGCAGCAGUGGGGAAUAUUGCACAAUGGGCGGAAGCCUGAUGCAGCAACGCCGCGUGCGGGAUGACGGCCUUCGGGUUGUAAACCGCUUUCGCCUGUGACGAAGCGUGAGUGACGGUAAUGGGUAAAGAAGCACCGGCUAACUACGUG
Molecule: ribosomal RNA, 468 nt
Filed under: uncultured bacterium
Lineage: Bacteria
Description: partial 16S ribosomal RNA
Rfam family: Bacterial small subunit ribosomal RNA
Source: RNAcentral